RNAcentral lists this ribosomal RNA (589 nucleotides) under uncultured bacterium. Its description in RNAcentral is "partial 16S ribosomal RNA". It matches the Rfam family "Bacterial small subunit ribosomal RNA", at positions 355 to 1376 of the family's 1533-position model. The record is from RNAcentral.
UGGGGAAUCUUCCGCAAUGGACGAAAGUCUGACGGAGCAACGCCGCGUGAGUGAAGAAGGUUUUCGGAUCGUAAACUCUGUCUUUUGGGGCGAACGUGAGUAUGGUGAACAAUCAUAGUCAGUGACGGUACCAAAGGAGGAAGCCACGGCUAACUACGUGCCAGCAGCCGCGGUAAUACGUAGGUGGCAAGCGUUGUCCGGAAUUAUUGGGCGUAAAGAGCGCGUAGGCGGGAUAGUCAGUCUGUUGUAAAAGUGCGGGGCUCAACCCCGUGAUGGCAAUGGAAACAGCUAUUCUUGAGUGCAGGAGAGGAAAGUGGAAUUCCCAGUGUAGCGGUGAAAUGCGUAGAUAUUGGGAGGAACACCAGUGGCGAAGGCGACUUUCUGGACUGUGUCUGACGCUGAGGCGCGAAAGCCAGGGGAGCGAACGGGAUUAGAUACCCCGGUAGUCCUGGCCGUAAACGAUGGGUACUAGGUGUGGGAGGUAUCGACCCCUUCCGUGCCGGAGUUAACGCAAUAAGUACCCCCGCCUGGGGAGUACGGUCGCAAGACUGAAACUCAAAGGAAUUGACGGGGUCAUAGCUGUUUCCUG